CGUAAAUCGAUGGCUCUGUUUAUAGAUGGCGUAAAUCGAUGGCUCUGUUUAUAGAAGGCAUAAAUCGAUGGCUCUGUUUAUAGAUGGCGUAAAUCGAUGGCUCUGUUUAUAGAAGGCAUAAAUCGAUGGCUCUGUUUAUAGAUGGCGUAAAUCGAUGGCUCUGUUUAUAGAAGGCAUAAAUCGAUGGCUCUGUUUAUAGAUGGCGUAAAUCGAUGGCUCUGUUUAUAGAUGGCGUAAAUUGCUCUAUUUAUAGAUGGCGUGAAUCGACAGCUCUGUUUAUAGAUGUCGUAAAUUGCUCUGUUUAUAGAUGGCGUAAAUCAUCGCCUCUGUUUAUAGGUGGCGGAAAUCGAUGGCUCUGUUUAUAGAAGGCAUAAAUCGAUGGCUCUGUUUAUAGAUGGCGUAAAUUGCUCUAUUUAUAGAUGGUGUAAAUCGACGGCUCUGUUUAAAGAUGGCGUGAAUCGACAGCUCUGUUUAUAGAUGUGGUAAAUUGCUCUGUUUAUAGAUGGCAUAAAUCAUCGCCUCUGUUUAUAGGUGGCGUAAAUCGAUGGCUCUGUUUAUAGAAGGCGUAAAUCGAUGACUCUGUUUAUAGAUGGCGUAAAUUGCUCUAUUUAUAGACGGCGUAAAUCGACUGCUCUGUUUAUAGAUGGCGUAAAUUGCUCGGUUUAUAGAUGGCGUAAAUCGACGGCUCUGUUUAUAGAUGGCGUAAAUUGCUCGGUUUAUAGAUGGCGUAAAUUGCUCGGUUUAUAGAUGGCGUAAAUCGACGGCUCUGUUUAUAGAUGGCGUAAAUUGCUCUGUUUAUAGAUGGCGUAAAUCGAUGGCUCUGUUUAUAGAUGGCGUAAAUUGCUCUAUUUAUAGACGGUGUAAAUCGACUGCUCUGUUUAUAGAUGGCGUAAAUUGCUCUGUUUAUAGAUGGCGUAAAUUGCUCUAUUUAUAGACGGUGUAAAUCGACUGCUCUGUUUAUAGAUGGCGUAAAUUGCUCUAUUUAUAGACGGUGUAAAUCGACUGCUCUGUUUAUAGAUGGCGUAAAUUGCUCGGUUUAUAGAUGGCGUAAAUCGACGGCUCUGUUUAUAGAUGGCGUAAAUUGCUCUGUUUAUAGAUGGCGUAAAUCGAUGGCUCUGUUUAUAGAUGGCGUAAAUCGAUGGCUCUGUUUAUAGAUGACGUAAAUCAUCGCCUCUGUUUAUAGAUGGCGUAAAUCACCGCCUCUGUUUAUAGAUGGCGUAAAUCGACGGCUCUGUUUAUAGAUGCGUAAAUCGAUGGCUCUGUUUAUAGAAGGCAUAAGUCAAUGGCUCUGUUUACAGAUGGCGUAAAUUGAUAGCUCUGUUUAUGGAUGGCGUAAAUCGAUGGCUCUGUUUAUAGAAGGCGUAAAUCCGGUGGCUCUCUUUAUAGAUGGCGUAAAUUGCUCUGUUUACAGAUGGCGUAAAUCGACGGCACUGUUUAUAGAUGACGCAGGGAUGUUUUCUGUAAUGUCUCUGAUAAAACCAGCUGAGAUACAAUACGCAAAACCUUCGCUCUGAGCAAAUUAUAUUUUAAGCCUUUCAAUCAUUUUGCCUGUAAUAUGAAAUGGACAGAUUGUUUGGGUUUUCUAGUUAUUCAGAGAUAACGUCUACAAAGUGGGGAAGUGCAGCUUUCUGUUGGACUGGCAUCGCCAUAGCUGGGGCGAGUUCUGCACCGGACUGAGCAUGUAACCAUCUUCAACUUAUAUGUGCAAGGAUGGUAUGUAUGAUACCGUAUGUGCAAGAAUGAUAUGUAUGAUAGCAUAUUUAAAAAGAGUGUAUGUAUGAUAAUGUAUCUGCAAGGAAGGUAUGUAUGUAUGAUAGCAUAUGUGCAAGGAAGGCAUGAAUGAUAAUGUAUGAUCGGCAUUCCCGAACCACCGAAGGGAUCUGAGUGAUUUUUCGUCAAAGUGUGCACUCAGAUCCCAGCUAUUCUGUGACUUUCGUGCGGUUCUGAAAUAUUAAAAUGUGUUUUUUUUUAUGUUUGAAAUUAUUGUAGAUUUUUCUGUACCUGAGAGAUAAUUAAGUUAUAUAGUUUUCUAACGCAACUAUCAUUCAGGCACAGAGGAUCUUAGGAGGAAAAACUUUGUAAUGUCAUGUGAGAGACCCCUUGUAGAUGACAGUGCAUAAAAGCCAUGUGUGACCAAAUAAACUCAGUUGACU
Molecule: long non-coding RNA, 2153 nt
Filed under: Pelobates cultripes (western spadefoot toad)
Lineage: Eukaryota; Metazoa; Chordata; Amphibia; Anura; Pelobatidae
Source: RNAcentral